CAAUGGACGGUACAAAGAGCUGCAAGACCGCGAGGGGGAGCUAAUUUCAAAAAACCUUUUUCAGUUCGGAUUUUAGGCUGCAAUUGCCUAACAUAAAGCUGGAAUCGCUAGUAAUCGCGGUCCACCAUGCCGCGGUGAAAACGUUCCCGGCCCUGGUCCACCCCGCCCGUCCCACCACGGGAGUUUGUAACACCGGAAGUCGGUGGGGUACCUUUUUGGAGCCAGCCGCCUAAGGUGGGACAGAUGAUGGGGGAAGUCGUAACAA
Molecule: ribosomal RNA, 265 nt
Filed under: Bacillus cereus
Lineage: Bacteria; Bacillati; Bacillota; Bacilli; Caryophanales; Bacillaceae
Description: partial 16S ribosomal RNA
Rfam family: Bacterial small subunit ribosomal RNA
Source: RNAcentral